RNAcentral lists this ribosomal RNA (399 nucleotides) under uncultured Anaerovibrio sp. RNAcentral describes it as "bacterial SSU rRNA". It matches the Rfam family "Bacterial small subunit ribosomal RNA", at positions 8 to 339 of the family's 1533-position model. The record is from RNAcentral. Lineage: Bacteria; Bacillati; Bacillota; Negativicutes; Selenomonadales; Selenomonadaceae.
AGAGUUUGAUCUGGCUCAGGACGACGCUGGCGGCGUGCUUAACACAUGCAAGUCGAACGGGAAGACAUUUCUAACACCGAGUUACUAAAAUGAUGCUUUAUAUAAGUGAUUAAAACUUUGGUGGUUCGGUGUUAGAAAUGGAUUCUAGUGGCAAACGGGUGAGUAACGCGUAGGCAACCUGCCCUUCAGAUGGGGACAACAUUUCGAAAGGAAUGCUAAUACCGAAUGACGUGCAUUGGUCGCAUGACCGAUGUACCAAAGGCCGGGCAACCGGUCACUGAAGGAUGGGCCUGCGUCUGAUUAGCUAGUUGGUGGGGUAACGGCCCACCAAGGCGACGAUCAGUAGCCGGUCUGAGAGGAUGAACGGCCACAUUGGGACUGAGACACGGCCCAAACUCC